Molecule: non-coding RNA, 16431 nt
Organism: Coturnix japonica (Japanese quail)
Lineage: Eukaryota; Metazoa; Chordata; Aves; Galliformes; Phasianidae
Source: RefSeq, a predicted model, not a curated record
ACAGCUGUGCACUUUGUUGUUCUGCUUCAGCCUGAGCGCUGGUCUGUAAAUGGUGUUGUCGGUUAAGGAGUGGCAAAAGCAGAUUUGCGGUAGCUGAAAAUAGCAUGAAGAUUGUCUUGAUUUUGUCUCACAGGUGGUGAGAUGUGUUCUGAUUAACAGUUCCAGGCACCGAACAAACUCGUUAGCUGCUUGCUUUGCCUUGGGUGGCUGCUCAGCCUAAUUAAGAUGUGUCUGAGAGAGGAUGCUGCGUGCUCAGAGGCAUUUCAGGACCCUCUGUGCUUGAGAAGGAGAGUGAGCCACAUGGAAGGGAAUGCUUGGAACUCCUAGCUGACCGAGUGUAGUCGCCAGCGUCUGUACGCUGAUAGCAGGUGCACUGGUACAAGGAUUUGUAAAGCACUAGUGCAGACACUGAGCCAAGGAAACACGAGUUGCUCAUCAUUCACUGCUGUUCUCGACGCAGAGAAAUGUUGCUUGUCCUGCCCUCUGGGUUUUUGGGGUUUUUUUUGUUUGUUCAUUUUUGUUUUGCUCUUAAUUAAUUUAUCUUUUGGAGGAGGCUUUAAAAAAAGGCAUGCAAUUCCAAAGCUUUCUCGUUUGCUGAUGAGAACAGGUGAGUGCAUGGUGCGUGUGGAGUAUUUCCUUGUCCACCAUUGUAGUGUUGGAAGUUUAUUCCUCUGCCUGCUGGGAUUCUGCUUUUUUGCUUUUGUACAGUGGAAACAGUGUAUUUAGAAGUAGGUCGGAAGGCAGGUACAAAUCUGUCCUUCUGUAGCCCUCUGGGGUUACUUGAGUUACACCAACUAUGAAUUUGGUUCAGGGCUAUUUGUCUUUUAUCAGGUAUUUGCCAUUAGACGAAGAGCUUUGCAGAUCUGGAGCUGGGGGAUGACUGCUUACCCCUCUCACAGGCUGUAGUCAUCUUAUCUGGUUUGGGAAAACACACAGGAGAGAGGACAAACAGGAACAAAAGAUGUAUAAAAAGUUUCUGUAUUUUUACUCUGUGCUCUAGUCUUGGGUAUCAGGAAUUGUAUAUUAACCAAACCAAGUGCACAAAUCACAUGAAGCUGACUGCCUUUUAAGGAUCCUUUUUCCUGUAUUGUGUUCAUUUUAGAAAUGAGCACAACAUUUCCUUUCCCGGUGCUGGGAGCUGCUGGAAACCACUUUUUGGAAACCACAUAGCUGCCUGGAAAUCUCUCACCGAGAGUGUGAUUUUUGGAUAGGACUUAACUGAUCAGCAUUGCUUUUGAGAAAUUGCCUUGCGAGUUGCAUCCGUGGAGCUUAUUGCUUCUGCUGAAGGAAUCAACAUCACCUCAGUUGUUGAUGCUGAAAGGAGCAGUUUGAUCCAAAUAAAUAAGAAAAAUUAAAAAGGUAGAAAGCAGUGCAUCAUUCAGUGGGAGUGUCUGCUGUAGAAGGGUAGAGUAAGCUCAUCUAUCUGGUUUAGAUGGUACAAUUAAAGACCCCUUCAAUAAGUUUGUGGUAUUAUCUUUUCUGAAGACAUAGAUGCAAGUCACUCACCCUGUAUUUUCUAGGGAUAUUUGGGACACCUUUUAUUGAAGUGAUUGCCCCAGACAUCCUGUGGCUCUAAGCUUCAAUACAAUGUUAUUUUCCUAAUGUGUAAAAGAGAUAGCUAUUGGCUCCUCCUGCAGAACUUUUUUUUUUUUUUUUAGCAAUGAUGGAAGUUCCAAAAUUUAUUAUUUUUUAAUAGUUACUUAGCUGCGAUGUCACCUUCCUGUGGGACUUGUAUCAUUCACUUGUAUUUACUCAGCACUGAUCUAGCUGAAAAUCCCAUCACAUACAGCAGUCUAGGCAAAGACAUGUGCCCACUUCCCAUCUUAAAGGGGGAUGUUUUAAUCUAGGCUGAGAUAUUCCAUAAAAAGAUGAGGGGAAGCUUGGGCUGUGCACAUCUGGGCAUGGUUUGUCUUUGGCUCCAACCUGCCCAUUUGGUAUGCAUCAAAAGGAAGCUCCAUUGCAAUUUUCUGUGUUUUAUUUCUAAACCUUCUGCUUUGUUUUCUGAUUGAUAACAAGGGAGCCCAGGAGAGCACUGUCUUUUAAGGUAACUGCAUCUCUAACAUGAUGUCUUUUUUCUUCUUAAUGCUCCAGGGAUAUAGUUCAAACAAUACAAACCUCUUAUGUUUAGUCGCUAUCACUAGGCAAAUACUCCAUGACUGUUUAGAGUCCCUGUAUCUCCCAUAACCUUGUUUGAAGGGAUUUGUUUACUUGUCUGUCCCUGCGCCUUAGCCGAUAAAAGGAGGAUGAUGGGGCAGGAUAGAGGCAGCCUAUGAUUGUUAAGCUCUGGAUAGUGCAUUAUGUCAGUCUGUCUGCUGGCUUCAAACCACAGUAUAGUGCCAGAGGUAGAAAAAACUGUGCUGCAGUCAAAGCCACAUUUGCAUUAGAUUUUUUUUUGACCUUAUGGUGUAGAGAACAGUUGCUUGUCACUAGUGCUUGGGGAUGAUCUAUGUGGGGGAAGCAUUUCAGAUUCCCAGGCUAUAAGAGUUCCAGCAACAGAGGAGUGAGUAGGCUUCAGUGAGAGCUGUGGCAUGCUGGCAGCAGUUGGGAGGAUGCAGAAGCUGAAAAAUGCUAUCUUGAGGUAGCUUUAAUUGGUUGCAUUGGAAAACACUUGGUUCGACAGGCUCAUAUGUCUUCUAAAAUGCUUGGUGCCAGACCAAGUUGGCAUUCUUCCCUUGACUUACACUAAAAGCCACCAAGCAUUGAUCUGAUCUUCAGUCUUACGCUUAAAUUUUUCUUGGAAGAGCAAGAUUUUUGCAAAGGCAGCAGAUCAUUUCUCCUCUCCCUUUGCCUCAGCAACAAUAAUGUUGAACACUUGAGCUGAAUGGGUAUUCCCCAUCUUCUGACUCAUUUCAUUGUGCUUUCAACUUUACGGGUUAUCCCUCAUCUGAUCACAGAGCCCCAUUACCUUCAGUUUGUCUAUAUUGGCAGUGUAGAGAACGGAGGCUUCAUUUAAUGAGGAAGUAGGGCCUUAGAUGGCUCUUCAGUUUCCAUGUGUUCAGAGAUACUCAAUAGGAAUAUUUCACUAUUUCCCAGGAUCUUCACCUUCCUUCUGCUUCAGUAGAAACAUCGUGGUCAUGCUUGUUCUAGGUAAACAGAUGCAGGAGCCGCCACUCAUCAGUUUUGCUUCAGCUGUAUUUUUAUUUUCAUCCAGUUACUCAAGUACUUUUUAUGCACCCCACAAACCAAAUACUCUUCUUUCUGAAUGUUUGUAUAUCCAAAGGAGUUGUACAGUGUGAUAAAGAUGAAUGAGGCUAAUGGCUCAAAUGAAGAGUUAAUUAUUUUUGUGUUUGGGGGAAAAAUGCUUAUAGGAAAAGUCAAUCCAUAUGUGGCAUGGCAUACAGAGAACUGCAUGCCAAGUUACAGAAAGCUUUCUCUUCCUGUUCCAUACAUGCACUCUUCAUCUCAAAUGGCAAGUGCACACAACAGAGCACCGCCAAGCACAGAAGUCGAACAGCAGUAAAACAAAAACAACUGAAUCGUGAAAAGCGAACUGAUUUGCUUGACACCUAUUUUGUUCAACACUGUGCUGUUCUAAUCUGAAAACUCCUGUGCGUCACAAAAAGUUUUCAGAACAAUAGGAACUGUCAAUUGCAGCAGAUUUUACAGACCUGUCAUUAUUCUCCUAUUGUCUUGAAGCGCUAAGUGGCACACAGAAAGAUUUUUGGCAGCAUUUCAGUGAGUUGUCUUGUAAAGAGGAAUCAUGUGUCUCUACUUCAUGUAUGUUAUUGUUUGCAAUUAGAGUGUAGCCCAGCACAGGCCUCUGGGAGCAUAUCUGCUCCCAUUCCAGUGUGCUUAUUUUAUGGUACUCAUUCAUUUUGUUCAUCUAAAAUAAACUAUAGAUUUCCUUUCAAAUUUGGACUCAGUGUCUUGUAGAGAGCCUGAAUUGCUAGAACAAAUUAACAUCCCACUCCAGCUGAUGCUCCUUGGGAAUGGUGGGAACAGUGUAGAAGUAGAAAAUUUUACCUAUUAGAGCAUCUAGGUCCUCACCUGCUUUAGUGUGAGCAAGCACACUCUUGCUCUGCCCUGUGUUCUUUCACUGCAGACACUUUCACUGCUUAAUAAGGAGUUUUCCACUCCCCAUCAUUAGGAACUACAAGCCACUCUUCGGGACAUGUUUCUGAAUAGAGGCAAGAUGAGAAGAGAGAUUGGUUUUGUGUUAGGGAGACUCAAUUGUACAGAUAAUGUAACUGGACAGUGUUUUGGCUUCCAUAACUACCUCUUCCUAGUAGUAUCAUCUACAUCCCUACCCAAACCAAAUUGUGUUCCAGUAUAGCAGGGAUCAUAACAUUCACUCUGAAAAUGAAAACCUGAAUUGAGUUACCCACCCUUAUUGUCACCAACUUGCAGAGCCCAUAUGUAAUGCAAAAUAUAUAUAUAUAUAGCAUUGUGAAAGGUUUGCAGAACAUAGAUCUCUGUUUUUUGUUGGCUUCACAACAAAUUCUGACAAGUUUCUCUACUUAAGCAUUUAAUGGUUUAAAAAAAUAAUGAGAAAGUCAGGCUUCAUGGGAGAAGUGUGACCUUCAUAUAAACUAGAACUUUGAUUAGCCGUUUUGGAUGUUUUAAAUUCCUCUGUAAUGCACAAAAUCAGUCUUGUAAUGGGGUGAAGAAGGAGAUCUUCAUAUUAAUGCUAACAUACUGUCAAAUUAAUACAUCAAAUACUACACUCUUAUCCUGAGUUGGUGGACUGCUUUUAUCAGUGCUUUUGAUGUGGCAAUGAAAGUGCUUGUUCCAUAGCUACAAACCCAACUCCUUUAGUCUUCCCUUCUCUUUGAACAUCAGUUUUCUUAAGACUUGGAACAUAGUUGUAUGGAGAGCAGCUUUCACAGAUGGGUAUUUCAAGAUACACAUCUGAAGGCAUAUUAGAAGACCUCACAAAGGGAUUCUCUUUUAAACUAGAUUUUCAAGUAUAUGUAGCCUUCUGGCUUGACCUCUAGAUCCACUCCCAGUUUGCAUUUCAAGAAAAAGCAUCUACCCACAUAUGGUUAUCUCCACUAAGAUCAAAGCUGUCACUUUAUUCCGACACCUGUGAGAAUGAAAUGGAUAUAAGAAAAAAAAAAAUGUGGGGGAAAUGGUGAAAAGGUUUGAAUGAUUUCACAUUUAUAAAAGGCAUGCGCCCACGAAUCUCAGCAAUGAUGAGAAUGCUUUCAAGAUAAGCUGCAGCUCUUCUUCUCAGAAGCAGCAGAACAUUUCUUUAUUUGUUAAUCUCACCUAGGUAAUUAAGGAGACUUGAAAACAUAAACAACUAUAGAUUUUCCAGAUCCGUGCAAAUAUAGCUCACUUGGCUGUGAAAGUUAAUAAGGUUCUAACUUCUGGGUGGAUUUUCUGCCUUGGUGUCUGAUGGAAUCCACUGUGAGGGACGGUGUCAUUUUAUGCUUCCUUUGGAGGCUCUCCUCAAGGUGUGAUGUCUUUCUCUGUUUCCAGCUUUCUCUGGCAAAUAUGUAAACUGUCAUAGAUUUAUCCCAGCUCCAGGGAACACAUCCUGAAGGACUGCCUAGACUGUCCUAUUAGAGAUCUGCAUCAGUAGAAAUGCAGCUCUGUUCAUCUGUUUGUGUUUCUUGCUGAUGUGUGAAAACAGAAAAGUGGCUUUGCAGUGCCCAUCUGCCCUCCAUGUAGAUCACGGGCAUAAGGCACAGAGGAGUCAAGGUGUGCAUUUUGCUGAUGUGCCCAUGCCUCAGCACUGCAAGAGCCCUUGGCUUUCAGCUAGAUAGGAUAUGCCAGAACAUGCUGAAGCCAGUGCCCUGAACCCCCUAAAAGAGGCACGUGUCCAGUUCUUGUCACCCCAGCAAAGCUAUCACUUCUUCAUCUGAUAAUUCACCUGAGUGCUGAGGAACAUUGUGGCUGGAAGAACCUUGCUAUGUAAGAAAACCAAGUCGCAUUCCUUGUCUUCAACACAAGGGGCUAAAAUCUGUCUCAGGCAUUAGCCACAGGAAGGGAAGAAAUACAGGUUACCAGUCUUCUAUCUUGUCUCCUUGUGUGUCUUCACAAGGGACCUUCUCCUCUCCCUUUUCCCAUACUCAUCUUGUGUAGGAUAGAGUUCACCCAUGUGGGUGGUGGAAGCUCUGCUCAGCUUUCAGAAACAGGAGCUUCUUGGAGGUAAGGCUCUACAUUGUUCACGCUCUCAGAGUCAUACUUUGGACAGUUACAGCUGAAAAGAGGUAUAGGAUGCACUUGGAAGCUCUCGUUUUUACACCUCCAGCUUCUUUGGUACAUGAAGUAAAUAGGCAACAGUCACAAUUAUUUAAGGGAUACAUUCCUGUUUUCUUACUUCAUAACUUACUUACUUAAAUCCCUUGCUCAAAUUUACAACCCAUUUCAAACAAUAGCAAAAUAUUUUGAGGGUUAUGCUUACAAUGUAUGAAGUCAGGACAAGUGAAUGUGCACUAUGUUCUGAUACUACAGAAAAAGUAUGAGUGAAUCUCAAACAAAAUAAGUUUUGAUUGUUCAUGCGUUAAAUUAUAAAUCAACCCACUUUUGCGUGCAGAAUUUCCAUCAUUCAUAAGUCAUGGACUCCCACUCCAGACUGAACUUUGCACCAGUCUCAGUAACAGUUUUCACUGCAGAAGGUUCCAGCCCAGUGAAUAUCUUGAUUUUGAAUUUUUAAUAUGCUUACAAUAUAAAUGGAAACUUCCAAUCAAAAAUUGAUUUAAUGGAGUAAAGAUCAAGCAUUUCAUGCAUGGCACUGAGCGCUAGCACUUGCCAUUCAUUUGGUAAGACAAACAAUUGCUGGUUGUGCAUCAGGGGUUUUUUUUGGAUUGUAGAACACUUUGCUGUCAAGCUUCAACCAACAAGGAGAUAGUCACCUUUAUAACCCUGCAGUGUGUUACUGAGUAUCAGUAAUUGAAAGGAACUUGCUUUAUUCAGUCAAAGAGAUAUAUGGCAGAUUUGUAAUGUGAAAAAUAUAGGAAAGCCCCACAGCUAAUUAUAUGAUUUUAAACUUAAACUCCUGAACUCAGUUGCUGCUCGUUGAAGAAGUUUUCUGAGUUGUAAUAUAGAGGUUUUACUGCACCAAAAUCGCAGUUUGCAGUAGUGGCAGCCAAAAGAUAAUCACAAUAUGUAGUUCUUGAGAUUGUAAAGAAAUGUGCACAUUUCAUCACCAUCUCCUGCACAGGCAGGCACCUGGGUCUGGAUUCAGAUCAAUUUGGAUCCUCCCCUUGACAUGCUGUCUCCAUCCAUUCUUCUGUGUCAUUAGCACUAGAAGUCACAUAACCUAACGAUGAGACCUUGCAUCUCAGCCAGUUUAGAGCAUCUGUAUCUUGCUGCAACCAAUGCUACAGGAACCCCUGUGAAAAAUGAAUACAGUAGGUCAUGUAUGAGCUGUGAUUCAGGGCACAGCAGUAAUCCUUUGCAAAUCCAGUUGCCUCAGCAGUAUUCACUGUUUAUGGGAACUUAUUGCUUGGGAUGCAAACUCAGGAGCUGCUGAAAAGGAAUCUCUAAGCAGGAGAUGGGACCUUGGCUGCACUGAAACAAGUGCUGCAGCUCCCACCAGUUUCAAUGAUCCUAAGUUUGCACCCCAGAAUCAAGGGCUAAUCUUUCUAGUAAAAUGAAGAUGCCAAAAUGAACUGUUCAGUAAGUCAAAAGGCACGUCCUCCUAAGGAGAGUGAAAGAUGUCAGAAAGCUCUUUGCAAGCCAGUUACAAAACAAGAAACAAUUUUGACUACCAAUAUAUAAAGAAAAAUGUUUGUUCCACCAGGGAUAAAAGCUCACUCCUUUCUUUGCUGUCAGGAUGCAGGAAGAAAGGAAGAAAAAAGGUACUUGUAGUUGGCUGGUGCAGUCCAGCAGCACAGUCAGUGAAGCUGUUUCAUCAUCCCAAGUCAUUCUGUAAUAGCACUGAUUUAUCUUGCUGUCACGCAGUUGUCCCCUGUUGAUAAUUUCAGUUUUGUCAAGGCAUGGGUUUUGUUGAAAACCUGCAAGCUCCUCUUACCUGCAGUGAACAGUAGGAGAACAGAGUAAGAUUUUCUCUUUUUCAUUGAUGCCUAUAUAUAAACCAUGCUAACCCCAAAAACCUUAAGGGUGUAGGAAAUAUUUUCUUUUUCCUUUUCUAUUUUCUUUUUUUUCUUUUUAGAAUGUUAUUUCUAAACCACAUUGACUCAGCAGAAAGAUGUAAGCACUUUGUAUGAUAACAGGUUGAUAGUCAAGCCCUGAUGUGAAUGCUCAGUUCUUUAAUUCUAGCUCUAACAUCUUACAUUUAACUCUCCAGUAGACAGGUAUAGAUGCAGUAGGUGGAAAGGAGACCAUGCUUUUUAUAUGCAUAAUAAAUAUCUCAGUUCUGUGUGUUACUCUUUAGUUUUCUUUCUGUUUCUUCACUUAAGUGUGAGGGAGAGAGAAUGAGAGAAAAAGAAGAGAUAAUUAACCAAAUACAUUUAAUUCAUAUCUAGGAACAGACUGUGUAAUAAUAAAUUCUCAGUUACCCAUUGCACUAAGCAGAACUACUCAUAGGAGCCAUUUUAUGAAAUUCAGUGGGAUUAUUCCAAUAUGUAAGUGCUACCCAAGCAUAAUUGGAGCCACUUCGAAAAGUAUAUGAGGUUUCUUUGAAAACUGAGUCCCUUGGAUUUAAGGAAAAAAGAGUAUUAUUAUUGUUUAUAUCAUGCAAGCAUGCAAGAAUCCAGUUAGAAAUUACUGGAAAAUCUAGGUUUGUUUUAAGAAGUGGGAGGGGAUGACCAGGAUGCCUGAUGCUGCUGGUGUAAGAAGAGGAAUGGUAUGUUUUUUGUGUAUCGAUACAAUUAACAGUCUAGUAAUACUUUUGGUUUCCUUUGUAGUCCUUCAAGACUUCUUACUAAUACAGUUCACAGUCUCAUCACUGGAAUUUCUGCAGAACAUGCAAAUCUCUUGUACUGCCAGGUUAUCUCUAUUCUUCCUGUUAUUCUAAGCAGAUUCAAAAGGCUUCUUCAAAAUAAUGUAGCUAAAUUAAUACACUGUACUGACAAAUGUAUGAGUGAAACAGAGAUGUACAACAGCCUAAAGACAUUACCUACCAUUGAAGAUAUUUUCCUGCUGCUAUCAGGCUUGAGGAGGAGUUGAGCUCUGAAACUGUUUUACCUAUAAAAAGAUUUUUGGUAUUAGCUCAAAAAGGAAGAAAAAGAGCAGAUUUCUACUGUUUUGUGUGUAUUCUCAGAGCUGAUAGAGAAGAUUAAACUGUGUGUGUUUGGCAGCAGCAUUUGAGCACUUGAGUGAAAUUCUGUCUGCUCUGCUCUUAAUCCUGUGGUAAUUCAGGAUCUGUAUUCACUGAUUCCUAAGCAUGAUAAUCCAAACCCCCUGCAGUUGGUGGUGUUGGUCUCAUCAGGAGCCUCACUGGCCUUUAAAUAGAAGGUAGCUUAACCUGAUCGACAGCUGAGUGUUGUUGGAUUUUCUUUUAAACAAGUUUGGCUGGGUUAGUAGUUGGUUCAGUGUAGCGCUUGGAUGUCAUUCUUCUUCUCUUGCUUCUUUUGAUGAUGGCCUUACCAUAGUAAUUAUGAAAAUUAUCCCAACUUAGGAAUCUCACCUCUAGUGAAAUUUCAGUUAGCAUCGUGUAAAAGCUUUCCUCUGUAUCCAACAGAUUUUAGAAAUCUGUUCCUAAGAUAAAGGAAUUUAGAAGCAUAAAUACCUAGAUAUGCUAUAUAACUCAUGGUCCUGUUUUCAGCAGUUGAGGGUACUGGAAUGAGAUCAUUGUUAGCCAGUAGCUUUUCACUGACAUCAGUGGGCAUUUCAGAUUGCUCGAGGUUUCUAUUAGAGAGACGUGGUAAAUUUGAUAUUGGCCAAAUCGAUCUUCUGUCAGAAUUCUGGACAUAUCAUAAGAAUAAUCUGCAGAAAUGCACAUGAUACUAAUGAGACAGGUAGCUACCUAGCAAGCGUUUACUAAACUUGCAUAGAAGAUAGAUAAUUGGCCACAAAGGUCACCUCUUUCUGAGAUCUUUAUUACACUCACUUGAAAACACUACUGGAUGUUUGUCUCUAAGACUCUGGCAGUGUGAAGUCAGAAUCACUGUGUGUGUUGCCAAAGCAGAGGUAUGGCUCGAAAAUAAUCAGCAAAAGCCAAGAAAGGUGCUAGUCCUUGCAGUGUUUGAGGGCAAAGAAGAGUUAACGGUGGGAAAGGCAGAACUGUGAGCCAAGAUUUGUUGUGGCUGGCAGCCUGUGUUGUGAAGGAGAACAUUCAUGCCAUGUCCAGAAUGGAAAUACCAAUCCCAACCUUGAACAAGAAGGUAUUCUUCAUAUUUGGCAGGCAUGCUAUCUCUGAGAAACAGCAGGGGAGAAAGCACUGUCUCAUGAUGUUGUUGUUGACUAAGUCAGGCUGAUGCAGUUCAUCCACCUACCACAGACUUUUUGUGCUUCCAAAAAUGAAGGAGGAGAACUUCACCUUUGCCUCGAUCUCUUUCUGUUUGGGACAUGCAUGAGCAAUAAUGCUAUCCUGACAGGGUGGGAUGUUUGAGGUACAAAACAUAAUGAAGAUUCGAUGAAGUAGCUCAGACAAAGAAAAAAUAAACUCGUGUCUCUGGGGCUAGGAUUUUCCUGCAAAUGGCCUGAAAUAAAGUGUAAACCCAAUUUACCAAUGUAAACUCGUUAUAUUAGCCAAGAGCUCUUUUAUAAUUAAAGCAUUGAGAUUCUAGUUGCUUAAAAGAGAUGUGAAAUUUUCUUCAACAAAAGAGGCUUUGUAAAGAAGCAAGAAUAACCACUACAAAUACAUGAAGUCUGAGAUUGUUCCUGAUGCUCAUUUAAACUCGUUACUAACCCACUGGGUUCAAAUGAGGGCCAUUUUUCCUUAAAACUUAAAUUUGUCGGCAUUGGAGCAGUCAAGCUUUAGCUCUGAAAGAGCUGAAAUGUGAACAGUUGUACAUCACAGCAUGUGCGAAAAGACAUGAUAGGCAAUAUCUGGGCAUUGUUAAGGUUUAGACUAGAUCAGUCAUGCCUGCUUGGUGUGAACCAUGCUGGCUCAUGGCCGUGGGCUCCUUUACUGUUACAUGAUUGGGGUGGCCCUGCACUGUGACCAGAGCCAAAAGGUCUUCCUCCUGCAUGCAUCCUUUCUCAGAAGCUUGCAGAUUGCCUCCUUGAGGAAGGAAGAAUGGAGCAACCCUCAAAACAGAGAGCAAGCAAGAACAGGCUAUGUCAGUUGUUUUGGGGGAGAUAUGUAGAAAAGAUGGCUAUCAAAGAGGCCUUUUCCCCCUUCUUUUCCUACAAAUGCUGGUAUUAGAAAAGGUAUCUGAGUGAUUUCUGUAUCAUUUACAUUUUCUGUGUUUCCAGUUUCUAUGGGAAACUGUUGAUCACAGCCUGAACCUCUGAUUAACCAUCUGAGGCAAGUGAUGGGUCAGCAGUGGGAACACAGGUGUUGGUAAUUCAGCUGUGCUCCCAGGAAGGGGUGGGGCUUGACUCCAUCUCUCCUAGAUCCCAUUUAAGGGCUGACCACCACUAAGGCAGCAUCUCUUUCUGGAGAUUGUGCCUGUGUUAGUUUCUACAGUGAGCCUUACUAUUGGCAAGCAUCUUGACUUGGUGGCAGCUGAUGCAAUAAUGGGCUCCUGCACGUUUUUGCACCUCAAUCACAUUUAGAACCUGACAGCCUUGUCUUUCUGGAAUAUGAACGCUACUUGCAGCCUACAGCUGAAACAAUUAGCUAUAAAACAGAAAGCAGCUUCAUGAAAGAAAAAAAAAGAGAAAAGAAAAAAAGAAAAGCCUCCAGCUUGCAUUUUAAGAAUUUAUUAAAAGAAAGCAAAAGCUAAACAUUCAAGUAGGUGAAAAAGCCUUAGAGUACUUAUCUGUAUUUUAUGGGUUUUGAGACUAUAAAUGAUUAAAGCUAAAAGUCAUUUGGGAAUAUACAAUAGAAGAAAUGGGCUUUGAUGAUGGCAGAGGUGAAAGAAUAGAAAUAGUGGUGUUACUAUUUGUACUACAUGUACUAAAAGCAGCAACUGAAGGGAGGAAUUUGACCAAACUCCAUGAAAAUGUAUCCUUAUAGCUCUUAUUAAUGAGUUCUGUUCCUUUCCCAGUUUCUCUUGACCCUUUUCUCAGGGUUAAAUUAAUCCCUCAUGCAGCUCAGCUGAGGAUAAUGAAGUUCCCUCAGGGUACCAGUGCAGCCCUUGGGUUUGACCUACAGAAGGGCUGAACUUCUGUUCUUCACUGUGUUUUCUGGCAGUUUUGUUUACAUUGGAUUAAUUAAAAAUACCUUCUCCAUUCCCCAAGCUGAUGUGCAGAAUAAAGGAGGUUCUAGUGCCCAGCCAUUUGCAGCCUAUCCAUACCUGUACAGAGACACUGUGGAAAAUGCAGCUAACAGGGGAACUGCAUGACCCAGAUCAUAUUUGUGAGCUAAAAUAUGCGUAUUUGGGUAGAGCCUGUGUAAGCAAACUUCAAGAUGUGAAGGGACUCUGAAUUCCAGCAGGCUGUUGUGGUGCUCACAGUUUAUGGUUCUGGAACCAUAGGUAUUGCUUAUAAUUCUCCACCUAUGGGAGAGUUAAGUUUGUUGGAGGUGAAAGCAAGGCAUUUGACCAUGUGGUCAUCUGGAUUUUGCUCUAGAGUGGCUAAACUGAAGGGUCUGCUCCAGCUGCUGCUAGACUUUUAGAAGGCUUUGAAACAGAUAUUUUUUUCAACAUUUAAAUACAUCACCAUCUACAAAUAGUACCGGUUUGAUAUCUGGUAAUAUAAGUUUUAUCCAGUGUAAGAGGUAGACUGCAUUUUGGUCCAGAGUUGUCUCAUUCUUCUGAUUACUUUGUCUGCAGUGACCUUCCUCUUUUAUUUCUCCUUUCUUUUCUUCCUGGCACACUAUUCUACCUCAUUUGUAUCUUAUUCUUGAGUCCUCUCUUCUAUCUUGCCAGCAUGCAAAUACCUAGGUACCACAGAGCAGCCAAGCAGAGUUGGUGCUUUACUGCAGAGCAUCAGAAGUCACAUGCAACCAAGAGAAGUUACCUUCAUUACAGCAAUCAAAGCACAAAAGCUUUUGGCUUUUUCACCUUGGUGCCACAAAAGCUAAGUGAAACCAGCAAAAUCCCCACUGUCCACCUCCUCUCUUGCCACUCCAUUCCUAUUUACCCUAUAAAUUUUCUGUGAAUUAAGGCAUAAGAUGGCCUUAAUAUCAUUUGUUCCUUGAUGAAACAAGAGAUCUGGCACAGCUGUGUCUUGGCAUAAGCAUUUUAUUUAAUGGUUCAGCAGUAGAAGCAGGCAGCAGGUUAUUUUGUCAUGGAUGACAGUGGAUGGUCUCUGACAACUUGAAACUCUUCAGAACUCUUCAGCACAUAUUAGGCUACUGAAAGUUGUGGCUUCCAUUUGUCAAGAGGGCAUAUUCAGAGGGAGCAGUGGCUGGCUCAGAAAGUCUUUAUUCAAGGUCUUCAGUUGUGUUGCAUUUGUUUUGCACUGAUUUUUAGAGGAUGCUGAUUAAUAUAAAUCAUCUUGUAUUACGACACUUGACCAAGGCCUAUAAUCAUGCUACUACUUCAGCUGUGUAUGAUUGAGAAGACCCCAGAUUAAGCUGAGCACUUACAGCAAGGAGUCCCCCCUGUGCCAGCUGGGAGGCUGGAACCAGCUGCAUUCUGAAAUUUGAAAGAAAAAACGAACGAAUCUCCAAACUGCUUUGUAAAACUCUCUUUCUCAUUACCCUAAUCACAUAAGUAUGCUGAAGGCUGCAAUCAGAGUGUUUUUUUUUUGUUUCCUGAGCUUGAUUUAAAAGGAGAAAAAAAGAGAAAAAAGAUUAAUGAACAUUGUACUGAAAGGAUCAGUCAAGUCAUCCAGGUUCUAUCUCUGCAACUCAGUAAUAGAACAGAGGAGAUCACUCUACUUCUGUUCCCUAUGUCUUGUUGCAUGCGACAUUUCCCAGUGCCCUUUAAGCCAUGUAGACCUACAUAGAAAACUGUAUAAUGUGCCGUAAUAUAGAUCAAGAGGACAGAUUUCAGUGUCCUGUGAUAUGUCAUUUCUUAAAUGAAGUAAUGUCACCUCUGAGAAUUACAUCUUUGAAUGAAGUUUCUAGGUAAUGUAGAGGAAAAAUCCCCGUUUUCAGUUACAGUACUACAUGUUGCUUUUCCAUCUCUGUGGUGUUGAUUUAAGCACCUAGUGUGCCUUUUCCCAUUCAUUCACUUAGAUGUAGUAGUUCUCGGUCUUCAGUACUUGUGCCCAAGAUCAUACAAAGGCAUCUGUGGCAGUCAGCAGUUAGAUCAACACAUCCUAAAUGUCAGCACACUGUGCAUAAUUUAAAAGACUGGCCUACUUCCGUUGUUUUUUAGUAUUUUAAAUGAGAAAAUAGCCUUUAGAUAGUAUUCCUAACAUGAUCCUUGCUAAGUUUUUAAACUUGGCUUUACUAACAUACUAGAAAUUGGUAAUGCUUAGCCUAUAUUUAAACAGAAUUCCUGGCCCAGUACUUAAUCUCAAGCUGUCUUUUCUCAUUACUAUUGCCAUGAGUUUUCUCUUAAGGAGUAUUCUUACUGCUGUCAAAGAUGAACAAAUGAGGCAUGGUUUCACAAGUGAAGGUUUGGGCUUGGGGCUUUGUUUGCUUUCUGGCAUGACAAACAUUUAUCUGAUCAACAUGGAGCAAUAGCAAAGUGAUGGCUAAACCAGGUCCCGCAAAGCACAACAGAAGCAUUGAUAUUGCAAAUGUAAUGGAAUGAAAUAUAAUGAAAUGGAAUGAGAAGCACCAAUACUGGGUGUGGGUUGCUCUGGGCACAGAAGAACUUUGAACUCUGGAGUUCCUGGAGCAUUCUCUUGGUUUAGGCGUCAAGGACAAGAAUUGCUCAGUUGUGGAAAUGUCCCACACUCCACUUAAAUGACAAGAUCCUUUAGUACCAGUAGUUUGAUCCUGUGAGGUCUUAAGAAUUAUCAGCCCUCCACAUUUUUGUUAUUAGUUGGAAAGAAUAAAAAUGGACUCAGUGCAAGGAGACAAGAACAGGAAAUUCUCAAAAAAUAAAUGAAAAAUUGAUAUCUAGGAGCCUUUUGUUUUGGAGGAAUGUCUCUGUUCAAAAUGUUGCUUUCCACAUGUGGGCAUCUCUGCCUUGUAUAUAACAUCCCCACUUAGCAUAGCAGAUAAAAAUCACAUCUGUGGUUCUGUUUGUCUAACAAGCAGUCUUCCUGCAGGAUCUCUAGUGCUUAGCCUGGGGGGAGUUUGUAGACCUUAUCUAAGAGGAGGAAUUACUUUGUUGUGGUUUUGACAUAUUCUUUAAACAAUAUUCAGAAACCAUCUGAAACCACACUAUAUAAAGAGGAUCCUUUUUGUGAGUCUCAGUGGAGAAAGCAAGAGUGAGAAAUAUCUGUGUUCUGUUUUCUGGCUUUACUCUGCAUCCUAGCCCUUGGUUAGGAAGCUAUGUAAGUCGUAGAAUGUAGUAAUUACUUUUGAAAUGAACAAAAGAAGUUUAAAGACUUUCUGCUGCUGUUCAGUGUUCUCGUUCACCCUCUACCCUUAUCACUUAGAUGAUGUCUCAGACUGGUAUAUUUAACUGGUGUCCUGCUUACGUUGGUGCAAGAUCAUGCAAUGCAUUCUUCAUUUGACGGAGUGAUUUAAUCCUUAUUCUUUAUAGGAUUUAUUGAAAAAUGCUUCCAUUGCUUGUGCUCUAAGCUCUGCUCUGCUUUCUCCAGCCCUGACUUGUGAGCUAGCAGGAUAUGUAGAUUGCCUUCAGAUUGUAUGGCAGAGUGCUAAUCCACUGGCAGGUGUGACUCCUUUAGAUUUGUACCCAGAGCAUUCUCAGGAGCUGGGUUUGAACCCUGAACCACUCUGAGCAUCAGUUGAAAUGUAAAGUUCAAUAGAAUUUUUUCUCUGAUUACCAAAGAACUUGUUUUUGUAAUAUUGACUAUCAAAAGAUCUGUAAGAAGAGAGUGACAGCCUCUGCUUAGCCACUCAGACACCAGCAGAAGCUGAUCCCACUGCCUUGUGCUUGUCCUAGCAGUGCUGGAAAAAUUAGGGCAGAAACCAGGGGUUAGUUUCUCCCUCUCACCUACAGGGAGUCAGGCUUGAGGCUGUUCAAGCAUUUAAUUCCCAGGACUUAGCUGUAAAAUUUUAGUCCACUUUUAAAGGAAAAUACACUACAGUUUUGCUUGAAAACUUCUCCUCUGCUUGAAAAUAAUGGCUAUGUUUACAACAGUAGCAGCAGCAGCCAAGUUUUCAGGAAGGAAGCUUUGUUGUUUGAGGGCUGGGAAGGUUGCUUCUAGUGAUGUAAAAUCUCAGCUUGGCGUUGGCAAGGAAAUGGCAUGCUGCUGCUGGAACAGGGCAAAGAAAUGGGCUCUUCAGGGCUGACAUCCCUUUAGCUUCCCUGCGUUCUGGAGGAUCCCCAAGGCCCCAUGGAAACCAGAUGCAUUCCUGCUGCAACAAUUAAUGUAAGCAACCCUUGCUGGAAGAGAACGUUUAGGGAGGAAAACGUUACAGUAUUUUCUUUUGGAAAAUUCCACUAUUGACAUGAAAAGCAGCAGGGUAACAGCAAAGAUGGAUUGCAGAUUUUGACAGCGCCGACAGGUAAAUAUUGGCUUUGUGCAAACAAGUUUCUAUAAAUAACCUGUCUGCUC